Molecule: RNA transcript, 2584 nt
Organism: Ricinus communis (castor bean)
Lineage: Eukaryota; Viridiplantae; Streptophyta; Magnoliopsida; Malpighiales; Euphorbiaceae
Gene name: 6-hydroxynicotinate 3-monooxygenase
Exons: 5
Source: RefSeq, a predicted model, not a curated record
GCUCCUUGAAUUUUUCUUUUUCCUUAAACAUCGCGAUAGAUUUUGAGCAUAACAUCAUUGGAAUAUUUUGAUCAACCAAUCAAAAAUUCCAUUGUCGUUUCGCUAUGAUCUCUAUUUAGCAACAAGACAUAUUUCCCACUAGACCCAACGUCCUGUACACACAGAAAAACCACCAGAGACAGAGAGAGAGAAAUGAGCGAGAAGAACAAGAACAAACCAAAGGCAAUAAUAGUAGGAGGAAGCAUAGCUGGAAUAUCAUGUGCACACGCUCUCAUUUUAGCAGGAUGGAAUGCUGUGGUUCUUGAGAAAUCAAAUUCGCCUCCGAAAGGCAGCCCGACUGGUGCUGGGAUAGGAAUCGACCUUCUUUCUCAACAAAUCAUCAAGUCAUGGCUUGCAAACCCUCACCUUCUUCAUGAACUCACCUUUCCUCUCUCAAUUGAUCAGAAUAUAGUAACUGAUGGAGAUAAGGCUACUAGGAUAUUGACCAGAGAUGAGAAUUUCAAUUUUAGAGCGGCACAUUGGGCUGAUCUCCAUGGCCUUCUGUACAGUGAUUUACCACCUGAAAUAUUUUUGUGGGGUCACUUGUGCCUUUCUUUCAAUGUUUCUGAAGACAAGACCUCUGUUAAUGUUAAGGCUAAAGCUCUUCAAACCGAUGAGAUUAUAGAGAUAAAGGGGGACUUGCUUGUUGCGGCAGAUGGGUGUCUCUCUUCAAUUCGCAGGACUUUUCUUCCUGACCUGAAAUUGAGGUAUUCUGGUUAUUGUGCUUGGAGAGGAGUUCUUGAUUUUUCAGGAAAGGAGGGUUCGGAAACUAUUGUAGGCAUUAGAAAGGUGUAUCCUGAUCUUGGGAAUUGCUUAUACUUUCACCUUAAUGGUGGAAUUCAUAGUGUGCUUUAUGAACUUCCCAAGGAGAAGCUCAAUUGGAUUUGGUAUGUUCAUCAACCUGAACCCAAGGUGAAGGGUAGUUCAGUUACCAUGAAAGUAAGCAGUGACGUGAUAAAUAAUAUGUACCAAGAAGCAGAGAAGGUUUGGCCUCAUGAGUUUGUGAAAGUGAUGAAAGAUACUAAGGAGCCUUUUCUAAAUAUUAUGUAUGAUUGCGAUCCUCUAGAACAGAUCGUUUGGGAUAGGGUUGUACUUAUUGGAGAUGCUGCACAUCCUACAACUCCUCAUGGUCUGAGAAGUACAAAUAUGUCAAUUGUAGAUGCUGCAGUUUUAGGUAAACGCCUUGAGAAGUGGGGAGUGGAAAAUUUACCUUCAGCCCUUGAAGAAUAUCAGGGUCUUCGGCUACCAGUCACCUCAAAGCAAGUCUUACACUCCCGACGAAUGGGCCGAAUUAAACAAGGCUUAUCUCUUACUGAUCGUGAGACUUUUGAUCCAAAAACAGCAACUCCGGAUGAUUGCGAAGGACUUCAACAGAAACAUAUGCCUUUCUUUGCUGGUGUUCCUGGCUUGGUUGAUUUAUUAUUUACCACUUCAUCAGGACUCUUAAGAGAUAGAACACGUUCUGUAAAGCUGGAAGAGAUUCUCCGGUCCUAUUAGCUUCCAUAUGCCAAGACAAAAGAGCAAAUGAUCAUCAAAUGGUGAUGCCGAUUCGAAAGAGUUUAGAGAAUAAAGUCAAAAAUUGCUGUUACAGCUUCUGAAAAGACAGCUGUUAUCCAGAUUUGCCUACUAAAGCCACUGCAUUGAGGGCGCCAAUAACAAGUGCUCCACUAUAUAGAUCUCCUAGAGCAAACACCCAAGCUUUCAAAUAUGACAAGAUAUAAUAAUACAGAAUGAUUCCAGUCAAUUGUUGAAACACACCCAACUCCAGAAGCGCGUAUAACUGAUUGAGGUUAAUCUUUUCUCUUGAGAGAGUUCUUAAACAGAUAUUGUAUGGCUACUGCUGCAUUACAGCUUACAAGCCCUAGGUAGGGAAACAACACAAUAGAGACUCAGAAACUGAGUUUGUGACCAAAUUACGCAGAGAGGUAGGUGAGAGGAUGAGAAUAGUGGAAGAGAAGAAAAGGCUUUGUGUUGCAUGGUUGGCUGAUUGUGAUUAUUGUUUAUUUAUUUAUUUUCUAUUGUUUGUUGUCUGUAGAUACAAUGCAUAUAGCUACCAAACCAAUAAAGAGAAAAACCUGAAACGAAAGAAGAAAAAACAGAAAUGAGUGAAAGUCAGGAGAGUUAUGAAAAUUUUAACAGAAAAAUGUGUUUUUUUCCAGCUAAUCUUUCCUUCCUUUCUUAGUUCAUUAGUGUCAGGUUCACUUGAUCGAGAAUAUAAAGCAAGUGCUCUGCAACACAUGAAUGUUUAUCAAUUUCUGUUCUGCUCCCAUUCUUCAAAGUCAGUUUUUAGCUCAAAUUAUUUUGUAUGGAUUUAUGUAUUGCUCAGAAUUUAAAAACAGCUUUGCAGGUAUCUCCAACCAAAAACAGUAGUUUCCAAAACAAAAUUGGAAAUGCCAUCAUUUCUCUACAUUAGAUAGCCAUUGCAGGUUUAAUUUCCGUAACUUUGGUUGGUCAGUGCAGGUUUUGUUGCCGGUCCUGCUGGUCUCUCUUUACAAUAUCAGUACCUUUAAUGCUAGUUUAAUGUUAUAUAUUCUUUUACAAUAUU